This 483-nucleotide ribosomal RNA is filed under the name Diasemopsis albifacies. RNAcentral describes it as "partial 16S ribosomal RNA". The stretch from base 250 to 408 matches the Rfam family "Bacterial large subunit ribosomal RNA", at positions 2473 to 2632 of the family's 2925-position model. Lineage: Eukaryota; Metazoa; Arthropoda; Insecta; Diptera; Diopsidae. The record is from RNAcentral.
GUUUCAUUUUAAUUUAAAUUAAAAUUUUAUUUUUUAGUUAAAAAGCUAAAAUUUUAUUAAAAGACGAGAAGACCCUAUAAAUCUUUAUAUUUAUUUUUAUUUUAAUUUAUAAAGAUAAAUUUUAUUAUAAUUUGAAUAAAUAUUUUAUUGGGGUGAUAUUAAAAUUUAAAUAACUUUUAAUUAUUAAAUUACAUUGAUUUUUGAAUUAUUGAUCCAUUAAUAAUGAUUAAAAAAUUAAGUUACUUUAGGGAUAACAGCGUAAUUUUUUUGGAGAGUUCUUAUUGAUAAAAAAGUUUGCGACCUCGAUGUUGGAUUAAGAGAUAGUUUUAAUGCAGAAGUUAAAAUAUAAAGUCUGUUCGACUUUUAAAUUCUUACAUGAUCUGAGUUCAAACCGGUGUGAGCCAGGUUGGUUUCUAUCUUUAAUUAUUACAUAAUAUUUUAGUACGAAAGGAAUUUAUAUUAAAAAUAAUUUUUAUAUUGAAU